This 67-nucleotide transfer RNA is filed under the name Marmota monax (woodchuck). RNAcentral describes it as "tRNA.Ala". It matches the Rfam family "tRNA". From Rfam's summary of the family: Transfer RNA (tRNA) molecules are approximately 80 nucleotides in length. Their secondary structure includes four short double-helical elements and three loops (D, anti-codon, and T loops). Further hydrogen bonds mediate the characteristic L-shaped molecular structure. tRNAs have two regions of fundamental functional importance: the anti-codon, which is responsible for specific mRNA codon recognition, and the 3' end, to which the tRNAs corresponding amino acid is attached (by aminoacyl-tRNA synthetases). tRNAs cope with the degeneracy of the genetic code in two manners: having more than one tRNA (with a specific anti-codon) for a particular amino acid; and 'wobble' base-pairing, i.e. permitting non-standard base-pairing at the 3rd anti-codon position. Lineage: Eukaryota; Metazoa; Chordata; Mammalia; Rodentia; Sciuridae. The record is from RNAcentral.
GGUUGUAGCUCAGUGGUAGAGCCCUUGCCUAGCAUGUGUGAGGCCCUGGGUUCGAUUCUCAGCACCA